AAAUGAAUAGACGGGGGCCCGCACAAGCGGUGGAGCAUGUGGUUCAAUUCGACGCAACGCGAAGAACCUUACCAGCUUUUGACAUGUCCGGUAUGGGCACCAGAGAUGGAGCCCUUCAGUUCGGCUGGCCGGAACACAGGUGCUGCAUGGCUGUCGUCAGCUCGUGUCGUGAGAUGUUGGGUUAAGUCCCGCAACGAGCGCAACCCUCGUCCCUAGUUGCCAUCAUUCAGUUGGGCACUCUAGGGAGACUGCCGGUGAUAAGCCGCGAGGAGGGUGGGGAUGACGUCAAGUCCUCAUGGCCCUUACAGGCUGGGCUACACACGUGCUACAAUGGCGGUGACAGUGGGAAGCGAACCCGCGAGGGGGAGCUAAUCUCAAAAAACCGUCUCAGUUCGGAUUGCACUCUGCAACUCGAGUGCAUGAAGUUGGAAUCGCUAGUAAUCGUGGAUCAGCAUGCCACGGUGAAUACGUUCCCGGGCCUUGUACACACCGCCCGU
This 497-nucleotide ribosomal RNA is filed under the name uncultured bacterium. RNAcentral's name for it is "bacterial SSU rRNA". It matches the Rfam family "Bacterial small subunit ribosomal RNA", at positions 903 to 1397 of the family's 1533-position model. The record is from RNAcentral.